Molecule: antisense RNA, 75 nt
Filed under: Micromonospora carbonacea
Lineage: Bacteria; Bacillati; Actinomycetota; Actinomycetes; Micromonosporales; Micromonosporaceae
Description: ASpks TB sRNA
Rfam family: ASpks TB sRNA
Source: Rfam by way of RNAcentral
CUUGACGGACCCCACCCACAGCGGACGCCCGGCCGGACGGUCCUGCCCGUACGUGGCGAUCAGCGCCUGCGCCUC